RNAcentral lists this unclassified non-coding RNA (773 nucleotides) under Homo sapiens (human). Its description in RNAcentral is "complement C2 (ENSG00000204364.10)". The record is from RNAcentral. Lineage: Eukaryota; Metazoa; Chordata; Mammalia; Primates; Hominidae.
CCUUUUGAUGGUCCUAAUUCUCAAAGGUAACCUUAAGGGGAGUGUAUUUUGCUGUUGGUUCUGUGGAUGACAGGUGACAAAACAGGCUGGCCACUGCCCCAACCCAGGCAUUUCACUGGGCGCAGUGCGGACAGGCUUCCGCUUUGGUCAUGGGGACAAGGUCCGCUAUCGCUGCUCCUCGAAUCUUGUGCUCACGGGGUCUUCGGAGCGGGAGUGCCAGGGCAACGGGGUCUGGAGUGGAACGGAGCCCAUCUGCCGCCAACCCUACUCUUAUGACUUCCCUGAGGACGUGGCCCCUGCCCUGGGCACUUCCUUCUCCCACAUGCUUGGGGCCACCAAUCCCACCCAGAAGACAAAGGAAAGCCUGGGCCGUAAAAUCCAAAUCCAGCGCUCUGGUCAUCUGAACCUCUACCUGCUCCUGGACUGUUCGCAGAGUGUGUCGGAAAAUGACUUUCUCAUCUUCAAGGAGAGCGCCUCCCUCAUGGUGGACAGGAUCUUCAGCUUUGAGAUCAAUGUGAGCGUUGCCAUUAUCACCUUUGCCUCAGAGCCCAAAGUCCUCAUGUCUGUCCUGAACGACAACUCCCGGGAUAUGACUGAGGUGAUCAGCAGCCUGGAAAAUGCCAACUAUAAAGAUCAUGAAAAUGGAACUGGGACUAACACCUAUGCAGCCUUAAACAGUGUCUAUCUCAUGAUGAACAACCAAAUGCGACUCCUCGGCAUGGAAACGAUGGCCUGGCAGGAAAUCCGACAUGCCAUCAUCCUUCUGACAGAUG